UCCGAGUUGACCCCGGCAGUCUCCUACGAGUCCCCGGCAUAACCCGCUGGCAACAUAGGACAAGGGUUGCGCUCGUUGCGGGACUUAACCCAACACCUCACGGCACGAGCUGACGACAGCCGUGCAGCACCUGAGCAGGAUGGUAUUGCUACCUCGUUGGGCUUUCACCCUUCUACUACCUGCAUGUCCAGCCUGGGUAAGGUUCUGCGCGUUGCUUCGAAUUAAACCACAUGCUCCACCGCUUGUGCAGGCCCCCGUCAAUUUCUUUGAGUUUUAACCUUGCGGCCGUACUCCCCAGGCGGAUAACUUAAUGCGUUAGCUGCGCCACCAAAGGCCCAUGGCCCCUGACAGCUAGUUAUCAUCGUUUACGGCGUGGACUAC
This 381-nucleotide unclassified non-coding RNA is filed under the name uncultured bacterium. RNAcentral's name for it is "contains 16S-23S intergenic spacer region". The record is from RNAcentral.